CCUACGGGCGGCAGCAGUGGGGAAUAUUGGACAAUGGGCGAAAGCCUGAUCCAGCCAUGCCGCGUGUGUGAAGAAGGCCUUCGGGUUGUAAAGCACUUUCAGUGGGGAAGAAAGCCUUGGGGCUAAUACCCUCGAGGAAGGACAUCACCCACAGAAGAAGCACCGGCUAACUCCGUGCCAGCAGCCGCGGUAAUACGGAGGGUGCGAGCGUUAAUCGGAAUUACUGGGCGGAAAGCGCGCGUAGGCGGUCUGAUAAGCCGGUUGUGAAAGCCCCGGGCUCAACCUGGGAACGGCAUCCGGAACUGUCAGGCUAGAGUGCAGGAGAGGAAGGUAGAAUUCCCGGUGUAGCGGUGAAAUGCGUAGAGAUCGGGAGGAAUACCAGUGGCGAAGGCGGCCUUCUGGACUGACACUGACGCUGAGGUGCGAAAGCGUGGGUAGCAAACAGGAUUAGAUACCCUAGUAGUC
This 465-nucleotide ribosomal RNA is filed under the name Vreelandella stevensii. RNAcentral describes it as "partial 16S ribosomal RNA". It matches the Rfam family "Bacterial small subunit ribosomal RNA", at positions 338 to 795 of the family's 1533-position model. The record is from RNAcentral. Lineage: Bacteria; Pseudomonadati; Pseudomonadota; Gammaproteobacteria; Oceanospirillales; Halomonadaceae.